Molecule: long non-coding RNA, 609 nt
Filed under: Panax ginseng (ginseng)
Lineage: Eukaryota; Viridiplantae; Streptophyta; Magnoliopsida; Apiales; Araliaceae
Description: long non-coding RNA (PGIN_LNC016605)
Source: RNAcentral
GUGGUGCUGGGGUAGUAAAGGGGUUCGAGGGAAAGAGGGAGUACAAUCUUCGAGGUGGUGGUGCCAACGUUGUAGCCCAUGGUUACACCAAGGGCGACGGUCUUGGUGCGGAGAUCGUUGGUACCUUUGUGCUUGUUUACACCGUCUUCUCUGCCACUGAUGCCAAGCGCAGCGCCAGAGAUUCUCACGUCCCUGUAAGCCACCACAAUCUCUAAUAUCUCCUUGUCUGUUAGUUGUAUGUCCCAAAUUUAGAGUCCCAUAUGUAGGAAUAUCGUUAAAAUGGAGAUGAAAAUCUUAAAAUUAAAACUAAAAUAUUGUGAGUUUUGAGAUGGAUCUAGUGAGUUUUGAGAUGGGACUCUGAUAUUGGGAUGGAUAGAUUCUGAAUCUGUGUUACUCAGUACUAGUCCCAGCACCAGUAACAUUCCAACUGUAUGUCACUCUUGUGUUCCAAAUUUAGAGACCCACUUGUAUAAAGGGAUUAUGAUAGUUUGGAUGAACUUUGUAAUUAAAUAUUUUGACUUUCAUAUAAUUUUAUGAUCAGAUUUUGGCACCGCUGCCUAUUGGGUUUGCUGUUUUCUUGGUGCACUUGGCGACUAUUCCCAUUACCGG